GAUUUUAGAUAAAAAGCACAUGUCAAAUAAUGUAUUAUCAUGUGUUUUAUGUUCAGAAGUACCUGGAAAAAAAAGACAUGCCAAAAAGAUGAAGUUAUCAGAGUGAAAGAAUGCACAGUAAGGAAACAGAGUAAAUGGAUCUCUCUGUUGAGGAGGAAAGAAGCCCUGCUCGAGAAAUUGCCAACUGGUUGGUUAUUCUUUGCUGGCCUUCACUCAGCUUCAGAAAAGACUUGGUUUUAUAAGGAUUCAGCUGUCACUGCAAAAUACACAGUGCUGCUCUGUGCAUCCAACCUGACAGAAAACUAUCUCCAAGCAAAAUCAGCAAGUCCUCCUGUCACAAAGUAGUUACCUCUGUAAUCUAUUGAUACUGGAAACUCUCACCCAGAAAAUUCCUACUGCUUCAGUAGUUAAAUGGUCCUUUUUAUUGUGUAUUGUAUUUUUAAGAGCCCUCUUUGAUACACAGUUUGCAAUUGGUGUACUUGAAGUAGAGGCAAAAAUUAUUCUAGGUGGCAGAUGGUUCUAGAUAUUCUACAUGCUGGACAAAGCAGGWUAUAACUCAACCAUAAUGAGGUCUACUGAUAUCUCUUCAUCUUGCUUUUGAACUCGUUUAAAGGAAUUUGUCUCAGGGAUCCACUCUUGUUUUCUCCAGGCAAUCGCAGCCUUUGCUCUAGAUCCAUACUUAGAUGAGGGUGGGGAGCAGACUGCUCAGCAAAUUAGCCGGAGCAUUCACCCUGAGCUCGGGUGGUCCUAGUUAAAUGAGAAUUUGGGUUCUCAUCUAGCCCUGUUUUAGUCUGUCUACGUCAGCACUGCUUCAGGCAUCUUAAACAGGUUAUUUUGUUUCGAGAAAACAGCAGCUGAGGUAAUMAUUUUUAUUUUGCGAUGAAGCAGAAAAUUUGGUAGAAACAAACUGUUAUAAUGUGCUUUUAUGCCUUUUUCUUCUCCCUCCUCCAUAGUUUCCAUUCCUGAGUUCUCUUCAGGCGCGUUUUCCCUGUCUUGAAAGCUGACAGGCUUCAGAGGAUACUCAAAUAUCUGAUUGCAAUGAGACAGUUACUUUCCUGGCAUGCAUCUCCUUGAAAUGCACCAAAUCACAGCUAUCUUUCAUAGGGAUCAAGGCCUGAAUUCUAGAAAGUGCUGAGCCAUCCAGACACUCGUUGCUUUGUACCUGACUGAUUCUUGGCCUAACAGGAGGCUUUUCUUUUAUUCUAGAGGAAAUUAAUAAGAGGCUUGACACUAUUGCUUG
This 1240-nucleotide long non-coding RNA is filed under the name Dromaius novaehollandiae (emu). RNAcentral's name for it is "lncRNA (ENSDNVG00000004780.1)". The record is from RNAcentral. Lineage: Eukaryota; Metazoa; Chordata; Aves; Casuariiformes; Dromaiidae.